UACGAAGGGGGCUAGCGUUGUUCGGAAUUACUGGGCGUAAAGCGCGCGCAGGCGGCUCUUCAAGUCAGGGGUGAAAGCCCAGAGCUCAACUCUGGAACUGCCUUUGAGACUGAAGAUCUUGAGUCCGGGAGAGGUGAGUGGAACUGCGAGUGUAGAGGUGAAAUUCGUAGAUAUUCGCAAGAACACCAGUGGCGAAGGCGGCUCACUGGCCCGGUACUGACGCUGAGGCACGAAAGCGUGGGGAGCAAACAGG
This 253-nucleotide ribosomal RNA is filed under the name uncultured bacterium. Its description in RNAcentral is "partial 16S ribosomal RNA". It matches the Rfam family "Bacterial small subunit ribosomal RNA", at positions 524 to 776 of the family's 1533-position model. The record is from RNAcentral.